Molecule: ribosomal RNA, 404 nt
Filed under: uncultured bacterium
Lineage: Bacteria
Description: bacterial SSU rRNA
Rfam family: Bacterial small subunit ribosomal RNA
Source: RNAcentral
CGGGGAAUAUUGCGCAAUGGGCGAAAGCCUGACGCAGCAACGCCGCGUGAGGGAUGAAGGCUCUCGGGUUGUAAACCUCUUUCAGCAGGGACGAUUGUGACGGUACCUGCAGAAGAAGCCCCGGCCAACUACGUGCCAGCAGCCGCGGUAACACGUAGGGGGCAAGCGUUGUCCGGAUUUAUUGGGCGUAAAGAGCUCGUAGGUGGUUCGGUAAGUCGGGUGUGAAAACUCUGGGCACAACUCAGAGACGCCACCCGAUACUGCCGUGACUAGAGUCUGGUAGGGGAGUGUGGAAUUCCUAGUGUAGCGGUGAAAUGCGCAGAUAUUAGGAGGAACACCAGUGGCGAAGGCGGCACUCUGGGCCAGUACUGACACUGAGGAGCGAAAGCGUGGGUAGCGAACAG